GCCCGGUUAGCUCAAUCGGUAGAGCGUGAGACUCUUAAUCUCAAGGUUGCGGGUAAGUUAACACAUUCUCAUACAAAUCAUACUGUCACGUGCUAAUCACGUGACCUCGCAGGUUCGACCCCCGCAUCGGGCU
Molecule: transfer RNA, 133 nt
Filed under: Xylaria sp. FL0043
Lineage: Eukaryota; Fungi; Ascomycota; Sordariomycetes; Xylariales; Xylariaceae
Description: tRNA-Lys
Rfam family: tRNA
About the family: Transfer RNA (tRNA) molecules are approximately 80 nucleotides in length. Their secondary structure includes four short double-helical elements and three loops (D, anti-codon, and T loops).
Source: RNAcentral